UACAGAGGGUGCGAGCGUUGUUCGGAAUUACUGGGCGUAAAGCGCGCGCAGGCGGUGCUUUAAGUCUGUCGGUCAAAUGCCGGGGCUCAACCCCGAGCGUGCCGCGGAUACUGGAGCACUGGAGACGAGUAGAGGCAAGCGGAAUUCCGGGUGUAGCGGUGGAAUGCGUAGAGAUCCGGAAGAACACCGGAGGCGAAGGCGGCUUGCUGGGCUCGGUCUGACGCUGAGGCGGCGAAAGCGGUGGGGAGCGAACAGG
This 256-nucleotide ribosomal RNA is filed under the name uncultured bacterium. Its description in RNAcentral is "partial 16S ribosomal RNA". It matches the Rfam family "Bacterial small subunit ribosomal RNA", at positions 524 to 776 of the family's 1533-position model. The record is from RNAcentral.